RNAcentral lists this ribosomal RNA (253 nucleotides) under uncultured bacterium. RNAcentral describes it as "partial 16S ribosomal RNA". It matches the Rfam family "Bacterial small subunit ribosomal RNA", at positions 524 to 776 of the family's 1533-position model. The record is from RNAcentral.
UACGGAGGGUGCAAGCGUUAUCCGGAUUCACUGGGUUUAAAGGGUGCGUAGGCGGGUUGGUAAGUCCGUGGUGAAAUCCCCAAGCUUAACUUGGGAACUGCCGUGGAUACUAUCAAUCUUGAAUAUCGUGGAGGUAAGCGGAAUAUGUCAUGUAGCGGUGAAAUGCUUAGAUAUGACAUAGAACACCAAUUGCGUAGGCAGCUUGCUACACGAUCAUUGACGCUGAGGCACGAAAGCGUGGGGAGCAAACAGG